UACAGAGGUCCCAAGCGUUGUUCGGAUUCACUGGGCGUAAAGGGUGCGUAGGCGGUCGGGUAAGUCUGAUGUGAAAUCUCCAAGCUCAACUUGGAAAUGGCAUCGGAUACUAUUCGGCUCGAGGAAUGGAGGGGAGACUGGAAUACUUGGUGUAGCAGUGAAAUGCGUAGAUAUCAAGUGGAACACCAGUGGCGAAGGCGGUUCUCUGGAACGCAACUGACGCUGAGACGCGAAAGCGUGGGGAGCAAACAGG
RNAcentral lists this ribosomal RNA (253 nucleotides) under uncultured bacterium. RNAcentral's name for it is "partial 16S ribosomal RNA". It matches the Rfam family "Bacterial small subunit ribosomal RNA", at positions 524 to 776 of the family's 1533-position model. The record is from RNAcentral.